This 1006-nucleotide ribosomal RNA is filed under the name uncultured bacterium. Its description in RNAcentral is "bacterial SSU rRNA". It matches the Rfam family "Bacterial small subunit ribosomal RNA", at positions 1 to 966 of the family's 1533-position model. The record is from RNAcentral.
GGUGCGCGGCAGCUGCAGCCUCGGUCGAGAUUAUAGUUUGAUCCUGGCUCAGGACGAACGCUGGCGGCGUGCCUAAUACAUGCAAGUAGAACGCUGAAGGAGGAGCUUGCUUCUCUGGAUGAGUUGCGAACGGGUGAGUAACGCGUAGGUAACCUGCCUGGUAGCGGGGGAUAACUAUUGGAAACGAUAGCUAAUACCGCAUAAUAGCAGUUGUUGCAUGACAACUGUUUGAAAGGUGCAAUUGCACCACUACCAGAUGGACCUGCGUUGUAUUAACUAGUUGGUGGGGUAACGGCUCACCAAGGCGACGAUACAUAUCCGACCUGAGAGGGUGAUCGGCCACACUGGGACUGAGACACGGCCCACACUCCUACGGGAGGCAGCAUUAGGGAAUCUUCGGCAAUGGACGGAAGUCUGACCGAGCAACGCCGCGUGAGUGAAGAAGGUUUUCGGAUCGUAAAGCUCUGUUGUAAGAGAAGAACGAGUGUGAGAGUGGAAAGUUCACACUGUGACGGUAUCUUACCAGAAAGGGACGGCUAACUACGUGCCAGCAGCCGCGGUAAUACGUAGGUCCCGAGCGUUGUCCGGAUUUAUUGGGCGUACAGCGAGCGCAGGCGGUUAUAUAAGUCUGAAGGUAAAGGCUGUGGCUUAACCAUAGUACGCUUUGGAAACUGUUUAACUUGAGUGCAAGAGGGGAGAGUGGAAUUCCAUGUGUAUCGGUGAAAUGCUUAGAUAUAUGGAGGAACACCGGUGGCGAAAGCUGCUCUCUGGCUUGUAACUGACGCUGAGGCUCGAAAGCGUGGAGAGCAACAUGAUUACAUACCCUGCUAGUCCACGCCGUAAACUAUGAGUGCUAGGUGUUAGACCCUUUCCUGCGUUUAGUGUCGAUAUGUACGCAUUAUGCACUCCGCCUGGAGAUACGACCGCGAUGUUUGAACUCUGAUGAUUGACGUGGCGUCCGCACAAGCGGUGGAACAUGCUGGUUUAAGUCGAAGCAACCCCGACU